Molecule: ribosomal RNA, 570 nt
Filed under: Triticum aestivum (bread wheat)
Lineage: Eukaryota; Viridiplantae; Streptophyta; Magnoliopsida; Poales; Poaceae
Description: partial small subunit ribosomal RNA
Source: RNAcentral
AUGGCGGUGGAGGUCGACGACACUCGGAAGCACAGGGUGGCGGCUUUCCUGGACGACCCCUUCCAGGUGAUGCAGGCGAAGCGGGGCCGGUGCUCACCGUCCGCCACCGCGGACUCGGUCGCCGACCUCGGCAUCAACAUGGAGUUCGACCCCGUCGAGGCGGUCCAGUUCGUCUUCCCCGGCGCCGAUCCGCAGCUUCCGCGGGGCUAUCUCGAAGCGUCGGGAAAUGUCUUGGAUGCUGCCAUCAGAAGCUUCAGGGAUUAUUUGGCAUCGGAUUCAGCAACGACCAAUGCUGGUGCCUCCUCAUCUGGAGUGGCAUCUGAUGUGCCGGUGAUGAAUACUCCAGCCAACAGGAUUGAAUGGGUAGAGCUAAUUGUCAAGGAGAUGUCGUCCGCUUCAGAUCUGAAUCACGCCAGGAAUCGAGUCUUCAGGAUACUUGAAAUGUUCGACAAAUGUGCUGCAAACUACAGUACUCCUGAUGAGGCGCAUAAAAUGCGUGAGAUGAAGGGCACGACGGAUGGCGCCGGCGGGAAGGUGAGCAGCGGUGGAGAUAAGCAAGGAAAGGAGUAG